Molecule: ribosomal RNA, 496 nt
Filed under: uncultured bacterium
Lineage: Bacteria
Description: partial 16S ribosomal RNA
Rfam family: Bacterial small subunit ribosomal RNA
Source: RNAcentral
AUGAACGCUGGCGGCGUGCCUAAUACCUGCAAGUCGAGCGAACGGACGAGAAGCUUGCUUCUCUGAUGUUAGCGGCGGACGGGUGAGUAACACGUGGAUAACCUACCUAUAAGUCUGGGAUAACUUCGGUAAACCGGAGCUAAUACCGGAUAAUAUUUUGAACCGCAUGGUUCAAAAGUGAAAGACGGUCUUGCUGUCACUUAUAGAUGGAUCCGCGCUGCAUUAGCUAGUUGGUAAGGUAACGGCUUACCAAGGCAACGAUGCAUAGCCGACCUGAGAGGGUGAUCGGCCACACUGGAACUGAGACACGGUCCAGACUCCUACGGGAGGCAGCAGUAGGGAAUCUUCCGCAAUGGGCGAAAGCCUGACGGAGCAACGCCGCGUGAGUGAUGAAGGUCUUCGGAUCGUAAAACUCUGUUAUUAGGGAAGAACAUAUGUGUAAGUAACUGUGCACAUCUUGACGGUACCUAAUCAGAAAGCCACGGCUAACUACGUG